RNAcentral lists this ribosomal RNA (586 nucleotides) under uncultured bacterium. Its description in RNAcentral is "partial 16S ribosomal RNA". It matches the Rfam family "Bacterial small subunit ribosomal RNA", at positions 355 to 1376 of the family's 1533-position model. The record is from RNAcentral.
UAAGGAAUAUUGGUCAAUGGACGCAAGUCUGAACCAGCCAUGCCGCGUGAAGGAUUAAGGUCCUCUGGAUUGUAAAACUUCUUUUAUCUGGGACGAAAAAAGGCGAUUCUUCGUCACUUGACGGUACCAGAUGAAUAAGCACCGGCUAACUCCGUGCCAGCAGCCGCGGUAAUACGGAGGGGUGCAAGCGUUAUCCGGAUUCACUGGGUUUAAAGGGUGCGUAGGCGGGCAGGUAAGUCAGUGGUGAAAAUCCCUGGAGCUUAACUCCAGAACUGCCAUUGAUACUAUCUGUCUUGAAUAUUGUGGAGUAAGCGGAAUAUGUCAUGUAGCGGUGAAAUGCCUAGAUAUGACAUAGAACACCUAUUGCGAAGGCAGCUUACUACGCAUAUAUUGACGCUGAGGCACGAAAAGCGUGGGGAUCAAACAGGAUUAGAUACCCUGGUAGUCCACGCCCUAAACGGAUGGAUACUCGACAUACGCGAUACACUGUGUGUGUCUGAGCGAAAGCAUUAAGUAUCCCCACCUGGGGAAGUACGACCGCAAGGUUGAAACUCAAAUGAAUUGACGGGGUCAUAGCUGUUUCCUG